CCCCUCGAUGACGAGGAGAUGAUGUCGUACAUCCUCGCCAGACUCGACGACGAUUAUGAGCCCGUCGUCUCCACUCUUGUCGGCAAGACGGAGGCUGUACCAGUCGCCGAAAUCUACACCCAGCUCCUGAGUUUUGAGA
Oryza nivara is the source of this 139-nucleotide non-coding RNA. The record is from Rfam. Lineage: Eukaryota; Viridiplantae; Streptophyta; Magnoliopsida; Poales; Poaceae.